UAGCACAGUCUUAACGAUGGAUGUCUUGGUUCCUACAGCGAUGAAGGCCGCAGCGAAAUGCGAUACGCAAUGAAAAUUGCAGUGACUGUGAAUCAUCUGAACGCUGAAUGUAAACUACACCAAUUCUUCUUUGAAGAAUAAUGGUACUCCUUCAUAAAAA
Molecule: ribosomal RNA, 160 nt
Filed under: Plasmodium vivax (malaria parasite P. vivax)
Lineage: Eukaryota; Apicomplexa; Aconoidasida; Haemosporida; Plasmodiidae
Description: 5.8S ribosomal RNA
Rfam family: 5.8S ribosomal RNA
About the family: 5.8S ribosomal RNA (5.8S rRNA) is a component of the large subunit of the eukaryotic ribosome. It is transcribed by RNA polymerase I as part of the 45S precursor that also contains 18S and 28S rRNA.
Source: RNAcentral